Pelobates cultripes (western spadefoot toad) is the source of this 749-nucleotide non-coding RNA. NCBI's taxonomy places the organism in Eukaryota, Metazoa, Chordata, Amphibia, Anura, Pelobatidae. The record is from the annotation of a GenBank genome assembly.
AUGUAGAAGAGGAUAAAGGUCAGGCUGACUGCCUCAAUGAAUAUUUUUGUUCUGUAUUUACAGAAGAAAAUGAAGAAAAGGGACCUCAGUUGAGAAAAAGGAUAAAUGAGUAAUUUAUUACACGUGAGUUUACAGAGGAAGAGGUUCUAUUUCAACUGUCAAAAAUAAAGACAAAUAAGUCAAUGGGACCUGAUGGAAUACACCCAAAGCUAUUAAAAGAGCUUAGUGGUGUACUAGCAAAACCAUUAACAGAUUUAUUUAACCAAUCAUUGUUAACAGGAGUAGUCCCAGAAGAUUGGAAGUUAGCGAAUGUUGUGCCCAUUUACAAGAAAGGUAAUAGGGAGGAGUCGGGCAACUAUAGGCCAGUAAGCCUUACUUCAGUAGUGGGGAAAGUGAUGGAAACCUUGUUAAAGGAUAGGAUUGAUGAACAUCUAAAAACACAUGGAUUUCAAGAUCAGAGACAACAUGGGUUUACUUCAGGGAGAUCAUGCCAAACUAAUCUUAUUGAUUUUUUUGAUUGGGUAACUAAAAUUAUAGAUCAGGGUGGUGCAGUAGACAUUGCUUACCUAGAUUUCAGUAAGGCUUUUGACACUGUUGCACAUAGAAGGCUUAUCAAUAAACUGCAAUCUUUAAGUUUGGAUUCCAAUAUUGUUGAAUGGGUAAGGCAGUGGCUGAGUGACAGGCAACAGAGGGUUGUAGUUAAUGGAAUAUAUUCGAAGCUUGGACUUGUCACCAGUGGGGUACCUCAG